This is a non-coding RNA of Acanthosepion pharaonis, 93 nucleotides long. The record is from the annotation of a GenBank genome assembly. Lineage: Eukaryota; Metazoa; Mollusca; Cephalopoda; Sepiida; Sepiidae.
UAAACAUCCGUUCUCGUUCAAUCAACGUAGUUAAGAAACGUCGAGUCUGGUUAGUACUUAGAUGGGUGACCACUUCGGAAUAUCAAGUGUUAU